RNAcentral lists this unclassified non-coding RNA (365 nucleotides) under soil metagenome. RNAcentral describes it as "partial contains 5.8S ribosomal RNA, internal transcribed spacer 2, and large subunit ribosomal RNA". The stretch from base 1 to 120 matches the Rfam family "5.8S ribosomal RNA", at positions 35 to 154 of the family's 154-position model. The record is from RNAcentral.
GAUGAAGAACGUAGUGAAAUGCGAUAAGUAGUGUGAAUUGCAGAAUUCAGUGAACCAUCGAAUCUUUGAACGCACAUUGCGCCCGCCAGUAUUCUGGCGGGCAUGCCUGUCCGAGCGUCAUCUCAACCCUCGAGCCCCCCCGGGGGCUCGGCGUUGGGGACCGGCCCCGCCCCAGGGCGCGCCGCCCCCCAAAUCCAGUGGCGGUCCCGCCGCAGCCUCCCCUGCGCAGUAGCUUGCACACUCGCACCGGAGAGCGGCGCGGCCACGCCGUAAAACCCCCCGACCACGGAGCCCCGGCUCCUGAACGUUGACCUCGGAUCAGGUAGGAAUACCCGCUGAACUUAAGCAUAUCAAUAAGCGGAGGA